RNAcentral lists this ribosomal RNA (424 nucleotides) under uncultured prokaryote. Its description in RNAcentral is "bacterial SSU rRNA". It matches the Rfam family "Bacterial small subunit ribosomal RNA", at positions 355 to 796 of the family's 1533-position model. The record is from RNAcentral.
CAAGGAAUUUUCCCCAAUGGGCGCAAGCCUGAGGGAGCAACGCCGCGUGCAGGACGACGGCCUUCGGGUUGUAAACUGCUUUUAGGGGGGAAGACAUGGACGGUACCCCCUGAAUAAGCCCCGGCUAACUCCGUGCCAGCAGCCGCGGUAAGACGGAGGGGGCAAGCGUUGUCCGGACUUACUGGGCGUAAAGCGCACGUAGGCGGCGCGGUGCGUCGGUGCUGAAAGCGCCAGGCUUAACCUGGCGAGGCGUGCCGAUACGACCGGGCUUGAGGCAGGGAGAGGGUAGCGGAAUUCCGGGUGUAGUGGUGAAAUGCGUAGAGAUCCGGAGGAACGCCGGUGGUGGAGACGGCUACCUGGCCCUGACCUGACGCUGAGGUGCGAAAGCGUGGGGAGCAAACCGGAUUAGAUACCCGUGUAGUCC